CCUACGGGAGGCUGCAGUGGGGGAUAUUGCACAAUGGGGGGAACCCUGAUGCAGCGACGCCGCGUGGGUGAAGGAGCGUUUCGGCGCGUAAAGUCCUAUCGGCAGGGAAGAAGAUGACGGUACCUGACCAAGAAGCCCCGGCGAACUACGUGCCAGCAGCCGCGGUAAGACGUCGGGGGCAAGCGUUAUCCGGAUUUACUGGGUGGAAAGGGGGCGCAGACGGCAAUGCAAGCCAGGAGUGAAGGCCCGGGGCCCAACCCCGGGACUGCUCUUGGAACUGCAUGGCUGGAGUACAGGAGGGGCAGGCGGAAUUCCUAGUGUAGCGGUGAAAUGCGUGGAUAUUAGGAGGAACACCGGUGGCGAAGGCGGCCUGCUGGACUGUGACUGACGUUGAGGCCCGAAGGCGUGGGGAGCAAACAGGAUUAGAUACCCUGGUAGUC
This 440-nucleotide ribosomal RNA is filed under the name uncultured bacterium. Its description in RNAcentral is "partial 16S ribosomal RNA". It matches the Rfam family "Bacterial small subunit ribosomal RNA", at positions 338 to 795 of the family's 1533-position model. The record is from RNAcentral.